This 65-nucleotide transfer RNA is filed under the name Etisus dentatus. RNAcentral's name for it is "tRNA-Ala". Lineage: Eukaryota; Metazoa; Arthropoda; Malacostraca; Decapoda; Xanthidae. The record is from RNAcentral.
AAGACUAUAGUCAAUUUAUGACAUAUGAGUUGCAUUCAUAAAGAGUUCUUACUUGAACUAGUUUU